This 886-nucleotide ribosomal RNA is filed under the name Robillarda sessilis. RNAcentral describes it as "eukaryotic LSU rRNA". It matches the Rfam family "Eukaryotic large subunit ribosomal RNA", at positions 65 to 978 of the family's 3401-position model. The record is from RNAcentral. Lineage: Eukaryota; Fungi; Ascomycota; Sordariomycetes; Amphisphaeriales; Sporocadaceae.
CCAACAGGGAUUGCCUUAGUAACGGCGAGUGAAGCGGCAACAGCUCAAAUUUGAAAUCUGGCCUUCUGGUCCGAAUUGUAAUUUGUAGAGGAUGAUUUUGGUGCGGUACCUUCCGAGUUCCUUGGAACAGGACGCCUUAGAGGGUGAGAGCCCCGUACGGUUGGAUGCCUAGCCUUUGUAAAUCUCCUUCGACGAGUCGAGUAGUUUGGGAAUGCUGCUCUAAAUGGGAGGUAAAUUUCUUCUAAAGCUAAAUAUUGGCCAGAGACCGAUAGCGCACAAGUAGAGUGAUCGAAAGAUGAAAAGCACUUUGAAAAGAGGGUUAAAUAGCACGUGAAAUUGUUGAAAGGGAAGGAUUUAUGACCAGACUUUUUCUAGGCGGAUCAUCCGGUGUUCUCACCGGUGCACUUUGUCUAGUUUAGGCCAGCAUCGAUUUUCGGCAGCGGAUAAAAGCUUCAGGAAUGUGGCUCCUCCGGGAGUGUUAUAGCCUGUUGUAUAAUACGCCGCUGGGGAUCGAGGUACGCGCUUCUGCAAGGAUGCUGGCGUAAUGGUUAUCAAUCACCCGUCUUGAAACACGGACCAAGGAGUCGAACAUUUAUGCGAGUGUUUGGGUGUUAAACCCUCACGCGUAAUGAAAGUGAACGGAGGUGAGAGCCCUUACGGGUGCAUCAUCGACCGAUCCUGAUGUUUUCGGAUGGAUUUGAGUAAGAGCAUAACUGUUCGGACCCGAAAGAUGGUGAWCUAUGCGUGGAUAGGGUGAAGCCAGAGGAAACUCUGGUGGAGGCUCGCAGCGGUUCUGACGUGCAAAUCGAUCGUCAAAUCUGCGCAUGGGGGCGAAAGACUAAUCGAACCAUCUAGUAGCUGGUUACCGCCGAAGUUUCCCUCAGGA